UACGUAGGGCGCAAGCGUUGUCCGGAAUUAUUGGGCGUAAAGAGCUCGUAGGCGGCUUGUCGCGUCGGAUGUGAAAGCCCGGGGCUUAACUCCGGGUCUGCAUUCGAUACGGGCAGGCUAGAGUUCGGUAGGGGAGAUCGGAAUUCCUGGUGUAGCGGUGAAAUGCGCAGAUAUCAGGAGGAACACCGGUGGCGAAGGCGGAUCUCUGGGCCGAUACUGACGCUGAGGAGCGAAAGCUAGGGGAGCAAACGGG
This 253-nucleotide ribosomal RNA is filed under the name uncultured bacterium. RNAcentral describes it as "partial 16S ribosomal RNA". It matches the Rfam family "Bacterial small subunit ribosomal RNA", at positions 524 to 776 of the family's 1533-position model. The record is from RNAcentral.